GAAAGGCAUGCAAAAUGUUGCAAAAAUAUAUACAUAUAGUAUAUAAAAUGGUAAUGUUUUACGCGCCUUAA
This is a non-coding RNA of Drosophila ananassae, 71 nucleotides long. Lineage: Eukaryota; Metazoa; Arthropoda; Insecta; Diptera; Drosophilidae. The record is from Rfam.